UCCACCAUUCCCAUAGCUGGAGCCAUUUUAAAGAUGAGCCUUAGGAGAACAAUGUGUUGUUGCAAUUUGGGUGGAUAUGUGACUGAACCCUGUUAAGGCUUCUAUAUAAGCCUUCAAGAUUCCUGGAGAUAAAUGUGGAGAUCUACUUGUUUCCCAGCCACCCAAGACAAGCCUCACAGAUAACUUUCAAACUAACCUGAACACCUACGAAUUCGACCUGAGAUUUAAAGAGAGAACAGCUGGAGAGAACAGAGAGAAACGUUUUCACUUCUAACAAGGGUCAGUCAAGUCUUCUGAGACUGUAACGCCACUACAGCUUGACUGCAGCCUCAUGAAACAUCCUGAGCCAGAACCUCCCAGGACCUGAAAGAUGGCUUGGCCUCUGCCACGUGACACAACCAUCUGUAGCUUGUGCUUUUGGGGACCAGAAUCCUUUUUUCCCCUAAAAUUAUCAGCAUGGCUAUAAUGGCUCAGUAACAAACACAUGUCUUGUAUAACUUUGUGGAGGGAAGAUUUCCAGAAGUCUCUCUCACUGCUUGGAGGCAGCAAAAAGAGAGAGGAUAAGUUGCCAAGAUAUCUCUUCCAACAUAAUGAGCACUAAUUGAAUGUCUUGUAUGAAAAAUGUAUAAAACUAUAAAGACAUCAUCACUUAGAUGACUUGGGCUGCAGCCUGGCCAGAUGCAGUUCUAUGUUUCAGACAUGAUGUCAUAAGCCAGUAAAGAUGUGUUAUAAAUUUUUAAAAAUUGCAUUUGCUUGGACUGGUCAAGUAUUCUAGGGUAAGCCAUCAAGCAAAUGAUGAAGAAAUGCCCCUGUUGCUCCAACAUUCUUUAGUUCUAGUGCACUGUUCCUUUUUUGGUUCUCAUAUAAAUAUAUCCCUCCUUCCAAAAGAGCUGGCCUUUUCUAUCUCCCUUGUCUCCAAUUACAACUUGCUUGUUUACUGUAGGUUAACUCAUUGGGCCCAAGGGUCGAGAAACAGGAAAAGGCAGGGACUUUGCUGUGGGAUCUCCAGGAAUAUCCAGGAAGUUGGGGACAUGGCCAGAAAGGAUUUCAUAAUAGGUUGCAUGAUUUUAUUGAAUUCUUUGGUAAGAAUAAGGGAUAAAGGUGGAAUUUUGGUGAUUUUUGAUGGAAUGAAACACUGUAGUGGUGUUUUAGAAUACCAGGCUGCUGCUCUACUAGUUAAAAUAUCAAUGCUCUAUUAAUUUAUCCCUCUCAUCAAGUUCAGAAAAAUCUAAGUGCAUAAAAAAAGAACAAAGAGAAUGAGAUGAGAAUACAUUUAUUUGAAAUAUAUUGACAAGUAUCUAAUUGACCUCUAAUGCAAUGCUGUUUGGCAAAACACAAAUUAAAGAAUGUAGCUCAAACAUAAAAGGAAUGUCCUGGGAUCUAACCAGUCAAGUUAUCUUCUCUGUUUGAGACAUAUUGGGAAGGGGCAUUUGCAGAUUUAGUUCUAGAACAGAAAGAGAGCUAGAAAUUUUCCUUAUGAGACCCUGCUCUAGUUUGUUUUCUUUCUUAACAGAGAGGCUAGCAUGAAAAUCAAGCAAAGGUAUGGCUGUCCUGGCCUACCUCUGUGAGACUAUUUCCCCAAUAUCAUCCUUUGUUUGCUUUUAACCAUAGAGUCACUGAAGCCGUUGUCUUUGCAACUGACCAGAACAAACAUGAAGCUAACUUUAAGGCUAAACUAUUCACUAGGCCAAAGUUGCACUCUCAGUUCUAUUUACCACCUUAUAUUAAUAGUGAUGAGUCGCCCUCAUCCUAAACCCAGGAUGAGAUUUCAAAUAAAGCCAAUUAAUAAUGAUCCAAAUAUGUAAAUGUUUUAUAAUCUCUUCCUUCCUCUGACCUCUGGUUAUCUAAGAUAAGAGAAACACAAGAUCCAGGGCUUCAGAACACAAGAUCCAGGGCUCUGAGCAAGCGUGCCUGGUCCAGCCCAGGCUUUCACACAUAAG
This is a long non-coding RNA of Nyctereutes procyonoides (raccoon dog), 1940 nucleotides long. RefSeq lists it as uncharacterized. NCBI's taxonomy places the organism in Eukaryota, Metazoa, Chordata, Mammalia, Carnivora, Canidae. The transcript is spliced from 4 exons. The record is from RefSeq and is a predicted model, not a curated record.